RNAcentral lists this long non-coding RNA (512 nucleotides) under Ananas comosus (pineapple). RNAcentral's name for it is "long non-coding RNA (ACOM_LNC003783)". Lineage: Eukaryota; Viridiplantae; Streptophyta; Magnoliopsida; Poales; Bromeliaceae. The record is from RNAcentral.
AGGGGCACUAGACCUAGAGAAUGUUAAAACUUCACAUUAUGACUUGGAACUAGACCUUCGGGAUGCUAGCGACUAUACCAUGUGAGAGACAUGAGGAUUGGGUACUUGAGACAGUGACCUUGCUUGUUUGCCAUUUGUGCUCAUUCGCACAUGCUUGUGAGGGUCGCUCCCCACAAGCCGGCACUCCGGAGUUAGCCUACGCGACUUAUGUUCGCUCGUGCGGUAUUGAGAAGCCUACGGGGUCGAGUGGGACAGACACAUUCCAAGAGUAGGGAUGUUGGGCUACCACAGGCACUUAGGCGGCACAAGCUGGACUACCUUGGGUAGGUCCCUAAUUGGAAAUGGAAAUCGACACGGUUUGAUAAUGAAGGAUCACUACUAGAUAGGCUUAGUAGUUGGAUUACAUUUACAUGCCUUUAGCAUAGUGUGAGAUAUGUAGUAUGCUUGGUUGCCAUGAUAGAACUUCUACAUCAUGCAUUGAUAAAGGUUAACAACAUUGAACUAGUGCCAUU